Molecule: ribosomal RNA, 505 nt
Filed under: uncultured bacterium
Lineage: Bacteria
Description: partial 16S ribosomal RNA
Rfam family: Bacterial small subunit ribosomal RNA
Source: RNAcentral
GACGAACGCUGGCGGCGUGCCUAAUACAUGCAAGUAGAACGCACAGUUUAUACCGUAGCUUGCUACACCAUAAACUGUGAGUUGCGAACGGGUGAGUAACGCGUAGGUAACCUGCCUGGUAGCGGGGGAUAACUAUUGGAAACGAUAGCUAAUACCGCAUAAUAUUGAUUAUUGCAUGAUAAUUGAUUGAAAGAUGCUAUUGCAUCACUACCAGAUGGACCUGCGUUGUAUUAGCUAGUAGGUGAGGUAACGGCUCACCUAGGCGACGAUACAUAGCCGACCUGAGAGGGUGAUCGGCCACACUGGGACUGAGACACGGCCCAGACUCCUACGGGAGGCAGCAGUAGGGAAUCUUCGGCAAUGGAAGAAAGUCUGACCGAGCAACGCCGCGUGAGUGAAGAAGGUUUUCGGAUCGUAAAGCUCUGUUGUAAGAGAAGAACGGGUGUGAGAGUGGAAAGUUCACACUGUGACGGUAUCUUACCAGAAAGGGACGGCUAACUACGUG